RNAcentral lists this transfer RNA (71 nucleotides) under Cordylochernes scorpioides. RNAcentral's name for it is "tRNA-Gly". The record is from RNAcentral. Lineage: Eukaryota; Metazoa; Arthropoda; Arachnida; Pseudoscorpiones; Chernetidae.
UGCAUCGGCCGGGAAUCGAACCCAGGCCGCCCGCGUGGCAGGCAAGCAUUCUACCACUGAACCACCGAUGG